UCCUUGCUGUGGCAAUUAAAAGUGUAGUCGGAGAGUAACGCUGCUGCAGGCAAGUUGUGGACUUGAGUUGAAUCGGACUAAGGCGGGCAAGAGUGCGUUCAUAGAACCAAACCACAUCCUUACUUGCCAGCGAGAGUGUGUGUUCGAUGUGGGCUCGUGGCAAAUAAAGUUCUUCCACUCUGACAUCA
Oreochromis niloticus (Nile tilapia) is the source of this 188-nucleotide long non-coding RNA. RefSeq lists it as uncharacterized. NCBI's taxonomy places the organism in Eukaryota, Metazoa, Chordata, Actinopteri, Cichliformes, Cichlidae. The record is from RefSeq and is a predicted model, not a curated record. The transcript is spliced from 2 exons.